Bubalus bubalis (water buffalo) is the source of this 148-nucleotide long non-coding RNA. RefSeq lists it as uncharacterized. The transcript is spliced from 2 exons. The record is from RefSeq and is a predicted model, not a curated record. Lineage: Eukaryota; Metazoa; Chordata; Mammalia; Artiodactyla; Bovidae.
GUGGUGACGCGGGGGCAGAGCGGGGCUUGGCACCGCUGACCAGCUUUCGGAUGGAGAUUUCUUGCCGAUCCAACAGAAUCUCCCCCUCUGAUGCAGCCUUCCUCUCACUCCCAGGCCCUGAUGCCAAGCAGUUCCUGCCCCCUCCUCA